AGGAUAAUAGCUCAGUGGUAGGGCGUGUGCCUAGCAUGCACAAGCUCCUGGGUUCAAUUCCCCAGAACCUC
RNAcentral lists this transfer RNA (71 nucleotides) under Camelus bactrianus (Bactrian camel). It matches the Rfam family "tRNA". Rfam says of the family: Transfer RNA (tRNA) molecules are approximately 80 nucleotides in length. Their secondary structure includes four short double-helical elements and three loops (D, anti-codon, and T loops). The record is from Rfam by way of RNAcentral. Lineage: Eukaryota; Metazoa; Chordata; Mammalia; Artiodactyla; Camelidae. RNAcentral also lists the same sequence under 2 other names.